GAUGAACGCUGGCGGCGUGCCUAAUACAUGCAAGUCGAGCGAACAGAUAAGGUAGCUUGCUCCUUUGACGUUAGCGGCGGACGGGUGAGUAACACGUGGGUAACCUACCUAUAAGACUGGGAUAACUUCGGGAAACCGGAGCUAAUACCGGAUAACAUUUGGAACCGCAUGGUUCUAAAGUGAAAGAUGGUUUUGCUAUCACUUAUAGAUGGACCCGCGCCGUAUUAGCUAGUUGGUAAGGUACGGCUUACCAAGGUCGACGAUACGUAGCCGACCUGAGAGGGUGAUCGGCCACACUGGAACUGAGACACGGUCCAGACUCCUACGGGAGAGCAGUAGGAAUC
This 344-nucleotide ribosomal RNA is filed under the name uncultured bacterium. RNAcentral's name for it is "bacterial SSU rRNA". It matches the Rfam family "Bacterial small subunit ribosomal RNA", at positions 28 to 363 of the family's 1533-position model. The record is from RNAcentral.